This 253-nucleotide ribosomal RNA is filed under the name uncultured bacterium. Its description in RNAcentral is "partial 16S ribosomal RNA". It matches the Rfam family "Bacterial small subunit ribosomal RNA", at positions 524 to 776 of the family's 1533-position model. The record is from RNAcentral.
UACGAAGGGGCCUAGCGUUGUUCGGAAUCACUGGGCGUAAAGCGCACGUAGGCGGAUAUGUCAGUCAGGGGUGAAAUCCCGGGGCUCAACCUCGGAACUGCCUUUGAUACAGCAUAUCUUGAGUCCGAUAGAGGUGGGUGGAAUUCCUAGUGUAGAGGUGAAAUUCGUAGAUAUUAGGAAGAACACCGGUGGCGAAGGCGGCCCACUGGAUCGGUACUGACGCUGAGGUGCGAAAGCGUGGGGAGCAAACAGG